This 241-nucleotide ribosomal RNA is filed under the name uncultured bacterium. Its description in RNAcentral is "partial 16S ribosomal RNA". It matches the Rfam family "Bacterial small subunit ribosomal RNA", at positions 332 to 590 of the family's 1533-position model. The record is from RNAcentral.
CGUACCCUACGGGGGGCAGCAGUGGGGAAUAUUGCACAAUGGGGGAAACCCUGAUGCAGCGACGCCGCGUGAGUGAAGAAGUAUUUCGGUAUGUAAAGCUCUAUCAGCAGGGAAGAAGAAGGACGGUACCUGAGUAAGAAGCCCCGGCUAACUACGUGCCAGCAGCCGCGGUAAUACGUAGGGGGCAAGCGUUAUCCGGAUUUACUGGGUGUAAAGGGAGCGUAGACGGCAGCGCAAGUCU